GUUGAUGGUGGAAGAACUAACUUAAUGUUGACGGGGUAGGGUGGGGGUACUACCAUCCCUAUGGUGGGGUGGGAGCCACUUAAUACCAGGAGCUGUUGGAGAACUUCAGGGUGGUGCCUGCUGCCCAUGUCCCGCUGACGGUCCAGCCUCCCUUUCAGAGCACCGUACGGCUAUUAAGAUGGAUAAAAUGACAUGAAAUAGAUACUGUUCCAGGUGCUGGUGACAAUUAAGGAACUAGAAACACAAGUUUCCAGCCCUGAAGACAGCCUCUUAGCUGAGACAGACAACAAACAAUUUCUGCCUCAAAGCUUUCAUGGAAUGAGACGAGGACUACAUAUAUAAUCCACACUGCACAUGCAACAAUGCAAAGUGGCUCCUCUAUGCAAGGCACUUCAACAGAAGCACAGCAUUAACAUCAGAAAUGGAAGAGACCUCAUAGAUCAUCUAAUCCAACUCACCCUUCUACAGAUCAAGCGGAAACUUCUGUUCCUCUGAUGCACUUGAUAACCAUCUUAAGGUUUAUUUGGCCAUCCUGUCAGCCUUCACACAAUAAUGGCAGACGCUAUUCUGUAUUAU
Molecule: long non-coding RNA, 576 nt
Filed under: Equus caballus (horse)
Lineage: Eukaryota; Metazoa; Chordata; Mammalia; Perissodactyla; Equidae
Description: lncRNA (ENSECAG00000053791.1)
Source: RNAcentral